AGAGAUUUAAGUUAACGCAAGACUAAGAGCCUUCAAAGCCCUAAGAAAGGGUUAAAAUCCCUUAAUCUCUG
This 71-nucleotide transfer RNA is filed under the name Synchiropus splendidus (mandarinfish). RNAcentral's name for it is "tRNA-Trp". It matches the Rfam family "tRNA". Rfam says of the family: Transfer RNA (tRNA) molecules are approximately 80 nucleotides in length. The record is from RNAcentral. Lineage: Eukaryota; Metazoa; Chordata; Actinopteri; Syngnathiformes; Callionymidae.